Molecule: long non-coding RNA, 5511 nt
Filed under: Sus scrofa (pig)
Lineage: Eukaryota; Metazoa; Chordata; Mammalia; Artiodactyla; Suidae
Description: lncRNA (ENSSSCG00005008584.1)
Source: RNAcentral
UUUUUUUGUUUUUUGUUUUUUUCCCCCCCAGAGCAGCUGGGGGACUGGGAAGAGAAUUAGAGAGGUUCUUUCAUUUCUCUCCUGCCUCCAGGCAGGGCUGCACUUCAAUCAGCCCUGAGAGGAGGCUGUCUGUCUCCUUUCAAAAACCUUCCAGAGAAAGCGCUCUGGCAACUCCUCCUGACAGCUCAUUUUCACUCUUCACAAACCUAUUAGGAAGGUUUUACCACCACUCCCUUCCUCUAGCGGUAUUGGCCUGUGGUCUGAGUGCCCGUGGGGCUGGAGAAGCAGUGCCUCCAGCUUGUGUUUAAUGCGUCCUUUCCUAAUCAGAGAUAUGUGGCAUGGCUCCCACCUUUCCCUCAGUCCCCUGUCUUCAACAUUAACUGCCCCAAUUUGCCUCUCUAGAGGGCUGAUCCUCCACCCUGGGCCUGAGAGCUUCACUUAGGGGCUCUUUUAAGGCACCAUGUUUCUCCCGAGCUUGACAACCCAGAGGAGCAGAAACACACCCUGGGGACAAGCAGCUCUUCCCUGUGAAGCGUCCAUCUUCUCUCUGUCCCUGUCCCUCCACCUGGGGAGCCUGUGUCUUGGGGGCACUUUGGGGGCAGUCACGCUGGGGUCAGCCUGGUGAGAGGGUGGCGCGAGGUUUCAUCCACGCAGCCAUCCCCUGGCUGUACCAUGAGCCACAUCCCUGCUCUAAGGGUUUCUUGUGUAGCCUCAGGAGCUCAGGCCAUGCAGCUCUCUACAGAAAUCUCUCCCAGCCUCUGACACUUGGAUGAUUUGGUAUUUAAAUUAGCCAGGAUUCUUUCUCUUCCCACGUAGACACUUUCUGUUCCCAGGUGAAGACUUUCAUAGAACAGGCUGACAUUCUCCACCCUCCCCCCAUGCCAGCUCUUCUCCUGAUGCAUGACAGAGCCUUGACAGAAGAGCCUGAGGGGCAAAACAAAAGCUCUACUGUGUGUUGGAGAUGAUGUUUAUCAUUAUUAUUAAUAGCUAGGGUUUAAUGAGCUCUUUCUGUGUUUUGGGCACUAUGCUAAAUACUCUAGCUCUUAUUAUUUUUCUAUACUGCCUAACCUGUAAAUCGCUUGGGUUCAGAAUGUCCAGAGGGGACACGUGGCAUCUCAGGGAUGCUGUGGAAGUAGACUUAGUGCCUCUGUAGAAAUUUUUUUCUCAAACUAGAUGCCCAAAGUUCCAGUGGCUACUUUCAGAGAUUCAGAUCUCAGUGGGUAGUGGGUAGUCAAAGUUAGAUGUACGAAGGUACUUUCUGGCAGCAAGGGUCGCUAAAUUUCGGAAUUGAUUACAGAGAGAAGCUGAGUAAUUUCCUGCACUAGACCAUCAGACAGAGCCAAGCGUAUCCCAUGUGGCCAGGGAGCAUGCUGGGAAGCAUGAGGGGUCAUGGGGCACUGGGUCCCCUCUGGAGGCCCUUCCUGACAUUCUCAUUGGUUCAGUUAUUGUUUAUAUCUCUAAUUCUUUGAAAAUGUUGUAUAUGCUUCUGAAAGUCCCUCACCAUGAGCCAGAGCAAGAGUGUGUGUGUGUGUAUGUGUGUGUGUGUGCACACAUACACACGCACACUUCUAAUUUUAAAGCAGAGAAGGAAACCAACUCUCUUUGGCCUGGGGAAAGAGCAUUAAUAAAGAGCCCAAGCAGAUGCACAGGAUUAAAGUAUUUUUCAAACUAACGAUUUGAUUGAUUGCCCCUAAAGGCACAGCCAGAGAAGAACUCAACUUACUUGGCUUCACAGUGAGCGAGGUCCCGUCCCCAAAGGUUAAUUUGUCUGUACGGGUGUUACACAGUGUUCAGUGCUAUUGCAAUAACCUUGACUCAGGCCUCUAGGAAGACAGGUGGAGGUGGAGGAGGCAAGGAGGAAAACAAAACUCGAAAUGACUGCCCAUGGCCAAAACAAUCUCCUUGUAAUUAGGUUAGAGCAUGGGAUGAAUACUAAUAACUAGCAACCUCCCAGCCUGAUUCUAUUUGCCAUAAUUUUCUUUGAAAGAAUGGGCCUUGGCACAAGCAACUCCUGGGAAAUUCACUCAAAGUGGCUACUGCUUGGUCUCCUGGGAUCCCAUCUUUUUGUUAUUCCUGCAAGCCCUUUAUCUAUUUUCAUCCAGUUCCUACCUUCUUUUCCUCUGCUUUCCCUGGACCUUCCUCCUCAUGGAGGUUCACAUAUUUUCUCAGGGAGAGACUACAUGGAUCUUAAAAGCCAAGUACAAUGCCCCAGGGAAUAUAUGCAUUAAUAACCUUGUUUUCCAACUGGUAUCACGAAUCACUCAACACAAACCAAGCAAAGCAAACACCACCUGUGUUUUGACAGCUUCUGCAUGAUGGAAGGCAGGCAUCUUGGGAAGAAUAAUUAGCCAGAAAGGAGAACUUACUUGGUGUGACCAAGAGUUUGGUGCCCUUCCCAAAAGUGAGUUGGGAACUCCCGACUCCAGAGUACCCACAGGGUUUCCUUUCUUUGCAAAAACCACACAGAUGCUGAGAAAAUCAAAGCAUUCAUAGUACAGGAGCAGUGUCGAGAGGAGCUCAGGCUGUAACAAUAGCCAGAGGACAGGUCAAAGAGAAGGGCUAUUACAGAGGCUUGCCCUGGGGUGGACCAUCCCUGAGUCCUAUAGUAGUCUGGCUGGAUUUCAUAGGUCACCUCAUCCAUCCUCCUGUCUUUAGCCAAGGUGUUCUCUGCCCAAAGACCUAUGUAUUCUUUAAGAGCUCCUGGGAAGGUAGCUUUCCUUUGCCAGCAGCUUUGCAUUCAAGCAACUGUUCCUUAUAUCUAAUGGAAAUCUGCAAACUGCAGCCUGAGUUCUCUAUGUCUUGAGCUUCCUUGCUUGAAGGUAGGAGAUUUGGGGUCAACAUGCUCCAAAGAGAAACUCAUCACAACACCCCAAAUCAGUCUCAGUGGUCACUUUUGGGGAGGAAACUGAUAUUGAAGGAAGGGGGAAUAUUGGUGUUAUCUGUAAUCCGAACUAUUUUUUUAUAGUGAGACGUUUUCAGGUAUUACUUAGACAAAUUAAAAUGAAUAACAACAUUAAAUAGAAGUCCAUAACGUAUUUAAAAGCGGCUCUUGGAUCUCAGACAGGCCUUCCUAUGCUCCCCAGGCUGAGGGGUCUCAGGUUCUCUAUCCUAGGGUUUUGGACUCCUGGGAUCAGGGGAGACACCUGGGCCAGGAUGGUUGGCCAUUACAAGCUGGAGUCACUGAGGCUGGGGUGAGGUAUUGUGCUUGCCUGUGAUUGUUUGGCUGGCUUUUGAAUUACGCCAGGGUAACCUGCUCAUCUUCCUGCUCAGCACUAACCUCCCAGCUCUUACCAGAACUUUCUUGGGGGUUCAAAAAACAUUUAUCGGUAUAUUGAAAAAUCAUUUAAGGGAAGAAGCCAUUGCUGACCAAAAUUAGGGAUGGCCAGAGACACUUACUUGGAAUCACAGAAAGUCUUGUGCCAUUUCCAAAGACAAGCUGCCUGCUUCCUGAGUUCCCACAGUGAUUGCCUCCCUAACAGAAACUCAGAGUGCCUGGCCCCUGUGCUUUUCUGGAGGUUUCCUUUUGUUCAUCUUUGGGUGAAAUCACCCAGACAUCUCCCCCACUUAACCACAGUUUUUGUUUUCCCUCAUCAUGCUUUUGCCUCCUUUGUGAUCCUCUACAAAACGGGGUACAGUUAAGAUGCCCCUGACUUGAAUGGUCUAUACUGCUAUACCUGGAGCUGUGGCCCAAGAAAGCAUUUGUGAACCGCCUGCAAAAUUCCAGCUUAUUGUUAGCCUGUGAAAAAUAUUCCAAAGGAAAUCCCUGUCUCUGGCCUCAUAAUGAACCCUUUGCUGUGCUGGAAAUAAAAAGGAGUGGCUGCUUUUCCAAAAUGAAGAAAAGGAUUUGGAAAAUGGCAAGAGUGAGAAGGCUCAACACAAGAUGUUGUUCUUGGCUGACAUACCAUCUUUGUUGCCUCUGGCAUUAAAAGAACUCUUAAAAAAGUUACCUCCCGCCCAUCCAUGGAACAAGGGAAGUGCAGACGCAUGGAGCACCAGAGCCAGGAAUCUCAGCCGAGGCCAAACAGAGAAAGUGGGUCUUUUAUGAAGAGUGGAAGGAUGUUUGUCAUAGGUAGUCUGGAAUUAUUUCCAAAACCACUUUGGUUGGAGCCAGAAAUCAUACUGGGUUUAAUGUGUCCAAACAAACUCCACUGGGGACAAGCCUGGGGGGAGAUUUGAAGAUGAACUCUUGACAAAGUUUCCCAAUUUUUUACUCUUCAUAAUAUAUAAACAAGGAGAAAGAAAACUGAUUUUUUUUUUCCUCACCUAUGGCAUGCAGAAGUUCCCAGGCCAGGGAUCAAACCCAUGCCACAGCAGUGACAAUUCUGGAUCCCUUAACCUGCUGAGCCACCAGGGAACUCCAAGAUAGGUGAUAUUUAAGCAGCAAAACACUGGCAGCAACUUUCCCUGCUCUAGAGGGGAAAGCAUUCAGGACCUAGAAGCUACCCACAUGCUUUAGAGCCUGAGAAAAAUUUCCCACCCAACACCAAAACCACUUUAACUCAAUGGAAAUCAGUAUCUAAAAAUCACAUGAACAACACUUACUGGGAAGAACAUGAAGCUGAGUCCCUUUUCCAAAGACAAUUUUGUUAGCAGACUGUUCGCACUGUGAUUGGGGCCACAACAAAAACUCCUAGUGACUCUUCAGGAAAGCUGGAUGGAUAUUUCACCUUCAUGGGACAUUUUCUCCUCUACUGUAAUAAACAGGUCUCAUUAUCUCAUCAGCCAUCUUUCUCUGUGUCUCCUGGCUAUUUUGCUUGAGUUUUAUGCUGCUUCUUGUAAAUGUGCAGAGAGGAAAUUGGGUGACCUCAUUUGACACUGAGGGCAAAGUGUAAGAGCAACAAUUAACAAACUCCUCUGAUAUCUAACACCAUUCUGUUAUGGCAGGCAAAAAAAUGGCCGGGUGGACAGCCACUGUGCUAGGAAUCACUCUUGAGAGCCUAAAGAAAGAUGGGGGCAGCAAGGGGCCACUCAGACACACAUCUGAAUUUCACGUGAGGGAGCAUCACAGAGCCCUCAUCUCACCCUCGGCGCCCUGUUCUGAAGUGGCCAUCGCACAAACCCUGAAGAUCCCUUACCUUAGGCCAAGCACACAUUUGCUGCACUCAUUACAGCCCUCCCCAAGCUCGGGUAGUGGCGGGGGCGGUCAUCCAGUUUGGCCCAGAGGGAGUCUACUCUUUCAGGAAACACUCCCUUUCACAGUCCAUGGAUAUGGUCUCUCACCACCAAGAAAUGGACACUGGAUGGCAUUGCGGCUGGUGCUGAUUGGAUCCUUGUUUGACUCAUAAAGAAUCAAGCUCUGGAGUUCCUGUCAUGGCUCAGUGGUUAAUGAAUCCAACUAGGAACCAUGAGGUUGCUGGUUCAAUCCCUGGCCUUGCCCAGUGGGCGAAGGAUCUGGCAUUGCCAUGAGCUAUGGUGCAGGUCGCAGACCCGGCUCGGAUCCCGCGUUGCUGUGGCUCUGGUGUAGGCCAGUGGCUACAGCUCUGAUUGGACCCCUAGCCUGGGAACCUCCAU